GUCAAUAGCUAAACCAUGUUGGAAACACUGGCUUUCCUCUGACCAUCAAAGUUGAGCAACAUUGUGCCUGAUUAAUACUUUCAUGGAUAAAAGUCUGAGAAUGUUAGGUGUUACCGAUU
RNAcentral lists this ribosomal RNA (119 nucleotides) under Trichobilharzia regenti. Lineage: Eukaryota; Metazoa; Platyhelminthes; Trematoda; Strigeidida; Schistosomatidae. The record is from RNAcentral.